This 253-nucleotide ribosomal RNA is filed under the name uncultured bacterium. Its description in RNAcentral is "partial 16S ribosomal RNA". It matches the Rfam family "Bacterial small subunit ribosomal RNA", at positions 524 to 776 of the family's 1533-position model. The record is from RNAcentral.
UACGUAAGGUGCGAGCGUUAAUCGGAAUUACUGGGCGUAAAGCGUGCGCAGGCGGCUUUGCAAGACAGAUGUGAAAUCCCCGGGCUCAACCUGGGAACUGCAUUUGUGACUGCAAGGCUAGAGUACGGCAGAGGGGGAUGGAAUUCCGCGUGUAGCAGUGAAAUGCGUAGAUAUGCGGAGGAACACCAAUGGCGAAGGCAAUCCCCUGGGCCUGUACUGACGCUCAUGCACGAAAGCGUGGGGAGCAAACAGG